This 253-nucleotide ribosomal RNA is filed under the name uncultured bacterium. Its description in RNAcentral is "partial 16S ribosomal RNA". It matches the Rfam family "Bacterial small subunit ribosomal RNA", at positions 524 to 776 of the family's 1533-position model. The record is from RNAcentral.
UACGUAUGGUGCAAGCGUUAUCCGGAAUGACUGGGUGUAAGGGGAGCGUAGACGGUUGUACAAGUCUGAUGUGAAAGCCCACGGCUCAACUGUGGGAGUGCAUUGGAAACUGUAGAACUAGAGUAUCGGAGAGGCAAGUGGAAUUCCUAGUGUAGCGGUGAAAUGCGUAGAUAUUAGGAGGAACACCAGUGGCGAAGGCGGCUUGCUGGACGAAAACUGACGUUGAGGCUCGAAAGCAUGGGUAGCGAACAGG